AGUUAGAUUAGCUUUAAUUAAUUAACAAAUGAAAUAGAUAAGAUAAUUAUAGGGAAGGGUUGGCGCAUGUGCGUGUAUAGGGCCCAGGCCAAAAGAGUUUUCAGAUUCCCUCUGUCUGUAAGAUAAAAAAAAGGAUUAAACCACUCAUAUUUAUAUUUUUAUUUUUAUUUAUCAAACAAUUCAGUCAAGAAGAAAAACAAACAAAGAUUCAGCAAGCGUGGGUCCCAGUUUGCUUCUUCAGUGCGGCUGUUGACGUGGCAUUCUGCUAUGUUUGUUUAGGUGGAUGAAAAUAAUAAAAGGAUGGAAGAAAGUCGAAAUGAAGGAAGGACAAUGGAAAUUAAUGAUGAGAAGAGAGGAUGGAAAACCUUCCAUUUUAGUAAUUUAUGCAUUUCACAAUAAAACCAAAUAAAGGCCAUUUUAUAUUCAAAGAUUAUGGGGGUAAAAAGGUAAUUUUAUGGAGGAUUCAUUCUUUACGAGCCUUUAUACCAUGUAUUGAAUGAGGUGCUUCCUUCCUCUCUAACUUCUGCCGCCAACCAAACAAUGGAAAAGGACCUUUCUCUUAUAAUCUUUUCCUCCUCCUUUUUACUCCCUCCCAACCAAACACAUUGUUCGUUUUGAAACAGAGCAACAGAUUCCUUCCAUUUAGGCGUAUUCUUCUCUUUUCCUUUUUUUUUUUUUUUUUUUUACUUAAUUACCAAUUAAUCAUGUAUUUUAAAUGUUUUAUUAGUUAUAACACGUCUAUUUAAUUUAUAUUUUUUAAUUUUAAAUAUUUUUAUUAAAAUAAGAAAUUUGGCUAAAUUAGAUAUCAAAAAAUAAUACUGACAAGAGAAGACAGGACGGAGUAAAAAUUUAUACUUAUUUAUAAACAAGAAAAUUAAAAUUGGAAUUAAUUAAAAGUCCUACAGCCUGGAGCGAUAUCCCUUAAAGCUCUUCAUGCCAGUUGCAUCUUUCACGAUAAUAUAUAUUAGUUCAUCUGCAGGUUUUCGACGCUUGUUCGCUCUUCAUCAUCCUCUCUGAUUGCGCUACUUGCAAAUAAUCGUGGUGGACACCGGUGCUUACUCUAGCCUUCUUUACUGUCGUCCACUUGCCGCAGCAUCAACGAGAAGUUGUUCGCUCGCCAUCGUCCUCUUUAGUUGCCCUGCUCGCGGACAAUUAUGGCGGACACUGGUGCUUUCUCUAGCUUUCAUUACUGCCGUCCGCUUGCCGCAAAUUAACGAAAAGGUAAAAAAAUAUUAGGUGCGCAGUUUUUUGGAUUGAAGGUAAAUGUAAUUAUGGUAAUAUGGGGAGGUUUUUGCAUUUUUGGAAUUGGGGUUUGACUGUCCCUCCUUAAAGGUCUGUUUAUUUUUCUAUUUUGUUCAUCAAGAUUGCAUUUUAAAUGACACAAAUUGAAUAAGAUUGACUAAAAGAAUUGAGUUUUUUUAGAAACAAAAAUUUGAAUCGGAAUGUAAAUUUAAAGAUAAACUUUGAAAAUUUAGAUAGUUAAAUUAUUCUAUUAGUGGUUAAACUUGUUGGAUUUUGUCACGUAAGCAUUUUCAUUUUCCUUUUUCCUAGAAAGCAAUCUCCAUGUUUUGAGUUUGGCAAGAUUGUUAAUUUUGAUAAAAAUGUUUUAAUCUAUCAUUAAAUUUGACAAAUUCAUAAUAACAUGUUAUAUUUGAUGACAAAGAAGUUCAAAAUACAUAUUAAUUAAGCAAUUAGCCCGAAUUGUUUUCAAAAUUAGCCUAUUUUUCUCUUUUAUAUAACUCCUCUAUUAUUGUAUUUUUUCUAUUUCAUAUAGAUUUUCAAUUUUUAACUGCAUGUCAUUCUUUUAUAUUCUAUUUUAUUAAACAAAAUAGAAAUGUGAAUUUUAGUUGGAGUUUGAUUAAUGAUAGUAAUAAUAAUUAACGAGAAAAAUAAGGACAUUUAAUAGAUUAUUAUGCCUUUGAAUCUAAAAGUAAUAAAUUUGAAUUACUUCAACACAAGUCCACCAAGCCUUUCCUAGAGAAGAGAUGUAUAAUUCAUUCACAUUUGCAAAAGAAGAAGGGGGAAGAAUAAGCAAAACAUAAAAGUUACUAUCAAGAGAAAGUAAAAACAACUUUAAUCAAAUUGGUCCUUUGAAAACAAAGAAGCUAUUAUGUAUAUAUAUUCUGUUGUAUUGCAGCAAUGUUAAUUUUGUCCAUUCAUACAAGAAAAACAAAAACCAAAAAAAAAAAAAAAAAAUAGGGAAAAGAAAAACAA
This is a long non-coding RNA of Ricinus communis (castor bean), 2214 nucleotides long. RefSeq lists it as uncharacterized. The transcript is spliced from 2 exons. The record is from RefSeq and is a predicted model, not a curated record. NCBI's taxonomy places the organism in Eukaryota, Viridiplantae, Streptophyta, Magnoliopsida, Malpighiales, Euphorbiaceae.